GACUGGACCACCAACAGAUAAAAGCACACAUAUGGGAAGAGGAAGUCCAGAUUUCAUGGCAUGUCAUAAGAAUGAAAAAGGACUUUAUUUGUGUGUGAUGUGUGCUUCCCACAAGACCUGUUACCAGGAGUAAGCUCUUAAUAAAUGGAUUGGAUAAAAGGUGAUAUCUGCUUCGCAAUUUCUUCCAGCCCUACCCCUUGCGUGGUGGUGAGAAAACUAACAGAGAUUGAAAGAAAAGUAUUCCAUUCUGCAAAGCCCUGAAAAUAGUCCACCAUUCAAAGUCAGCCUCAAAGCCUAUUGUCAUGACUAUAACAUUUUCUUCAUCAUCAUCAUCAUCAUCCUUUUCCUCCUCCUCAUCGUCAUUAUCUUUCUCCUCAAUUGAUUAAACCUCUUUGCUAUAGAAUCCAAUCCAUUUUGAAUUCUGUUGAUGGGGACUGGAUCAUCUCUAGUAUAGUGGACACUUAUCCUGAAGAAAGAAACAGGACCCUGUGGCCCAGGCUGAACUCUGGAUGAACUUCAUCUCCAAGAGGGUUGCAGAAUCCCCUUCUAGCUCCUAGCCUUCUCAGACCUUGGGGCAGCAGAGAAAGAAAGUCAGCACUAAAGGCUGUGUUUAGACAAGAUGCCACCACUCUAAACAAGAGUUUUACACAACAGACUGUUGUCUUAAAAAGGUUACGUUAUCUAAAGAGACAUUGCA
RNAcentral lists this long non-coding RNA (697 nucleotides) under Homo sapiens (human). RNAcentral's name for it is "HSALNT0359926". Lineage: Eukaryota; Metazoa; Chordata; Mammalia; Primates; Hominidae. The record is from RNAcentral.